GUAGGUAUAGUAUAAAUAAAACGCUAAGCUGCAACCUUAGAGAAGCGGACCUUUCGCUACCUGCU
Molecule: transfer RNA, 65 nt
Filed under: Nipponacmea sp. JM-2022
Lineage: Eukaryota; Metazoa; Mollusca; Gastropoda; Lottiidae
Description: tRNA-Cys
Source: RNAcentral